Molecule: ribosomal RNA, 497 nt
Filed under: uncultured bacterium
Lineage: Bacteria
Description: partial 16S ribosomal RNA
Rfam family: Bacterial small subunit ribosomal RNA
Source: RNAcentral
GAUGAACGCUGGCGGCGUGCCUAAUACAUGCAAGUCGAGCGAACGGACGAGAAGCUUGCUUCUCUGAUGUUAGCGGCGGACGGGUGAGUAACACGUGGAUAACCUACCUAUAAGACUGGGAUAACUUCGGGAAACCGGAGCUAAUACCGGAUAAUAUUUUGAACCGCAUGGUUCAAAAGUGAAAGACGGUCUUGCUGUCACUUAUAGAUGGAUCCGCGCUGCAUUAGCUAGUUGGUAAGGUAACGGCUUACCAAGGCAACGAUGCAUAGCCGACCUGAGAGGGUGAGCGGCCACACUGGAACUGAGACACGGUCCAGACUCCUACGGGAGGCAGCAGUAGGAGAUCUUCCGCAAUGAGCGAAAGCCUGACGGAGCAACGCCGCGUGAGUGAUGAAGGUCUUCGGAUCGUAAAACUCUGUUAUUAGGGAAGAACAUAUGUGUAAGUAACUGUGCACAUCUUGACGGUACCUAAUCAGAAAGCCACGGCUAACUACGUG